UACAGAGGGUGCAAGCGUUGUUCGGAAUUACUGGGCGUAAAGCGCGUGUAGGCGGUUGUUCAAGUCAGGUGUGAAAGCCUUGAGCUCAACUCAAGAAAUGCACUUGAUACUGGAUGACUAGAGGACCGGAGAGGAUAGUGGAAUUCCCAGUGUAGUGGUGAAAUACGUAGAGAUUGGGAAGAACACCAGUGGCGAAGGCGGCUAUCUGGACGGUUUCUGACGCUAAGACGCGAAAGCGUGGGGAGCAAACAGG
This 253-nucleotide ribosomal RNA is filed under the name uncultured bacterium. Its description in RNAcentral is "partial 16S ribosomal RNA". It matches the Rfam family "Bacterial small subunit ribosomal RNA", at positions 524 to 776 of the family's 1533-position model. The record is from RNAcentral.